GACGAACGCUGGCGGCGUGCUUAACACAUGCAAGUCGAACGGAAAGGCCCUGCUUUUGUGGGGUGCUCGAGGGGCGAACGGGUGAGUAACACGUGAGUAACCUGCCCUUGACUUUGGGAUAACUUCAGGAAACUGGGGCUAAUACCGGAUAGGAGCUCCUGCUGCAUGGAGGGGGUUGGAAAGUUUCGGCGGUUGGGGAUGGACUCGCGGCUUAUCAGCUUGUUGGUGGGGUAGUGGCUUACCAAGGCUUUGACGGGUAGCCGGCCUGAGAGGGUGACCGGCCACAUUGGGACUGAGAUACGGCCCAGAGUCCUACGGGAGGCAGCAGUGGGGAAUAUUGCACAAUGGGCGGAAGCCUGAUGCAGCACCGCCGCGUGCGGGAUGACGGCCUUCGGGUUGUAAACCGCUUUCGCCUGUGACGAAGCGUGAGUGACGGUAAUGGGUAAAGAAGCACCGGCUAACUACGUG
RNAcentral lists this ribosomal RNA (468 nucleotides) under uncultured bacterium. Its description in RNAcentral is "partial 16S ribosomal RNA". It matches the Rfam family "Bacterial small subunit ribosomal RNA", at positions 28 to 507 of the family's 1533-position model. The record is from RNAcentral.